GCAACAUGACCUUCCCAACAACCCCAACAGAUUUGCUGUACAGACCAUCAAGGCCCUGCUCUGCUGUCUACACUGGGAGAACGAGGUGGUGGCUGUGGAGCGCAAGCGUGGCUGGGACACCCUGCUCCAUGCUGACACCCACCACUAUGCAGUGGGGCUGCUGGCCAGGCAGAUGCGCAGUUUCUUGAUCCCCUUCUUUUCUGACAUUGCAACCCACCUGCUUGGGCUGCUCAGCAGGGAGGAGCCCCGCUGGGAGCUCCCUGCACUUGCCUUCCUUGUUGAGCUCCUUGACUAUCUGGAUGGGAGAAAAUGUCAUGAGGGUGUCCUGCCUAUCCUAGCAAGGCACCUGCACAACCAGUGCCCUGAGAGCCGACGCCUGGCACUCAGAGGCCUCCUUGUGCUCAGUGUGGAUCCCUCAAUGGUGAGAAGGGGACACCCGGCUGAAGCCACACUGGCAGUUUGGGGCU
This is a long non-coding RNA of Empidonax traillii (willow flycatcher), 467 nucleotides long. RefSeq lists it as uncharacterized. The transcript has 4 exons. NCBI's taxonomy places the organism in Eukaryota, Metazoa, Chordata, Aves, Passeriformes, Tyrannidae. The record is from RefSeq and is a predicted model, not a curated record.